GUGCCAGCAGCCGCGGUAAUACGUAGGGGGCAAGCGUUGUCCGGAAUCAUUGGGCGUAAAGCGCGCGUAGGCGGCCCGGUAAGUCCGCUGUGAAAGUCAAAGGCUCAACCUUUGAAUGUCAGCGGAUACUGCCGGGCUAGAGUCCGGAAGAGGCGAGUGGAACUCCUGGUGUAGCGGUGGAAUGCGCAGAUAUCAGGAAGAACACCAACGGCGAAGGCAGCUCGCUGGGACGGAACUGACGCUGAGGCGCGAAAGCGUGGGGAGCGAACAGGAUUAGAUACCCUGGUAGUCC
Molecule: ribosomal RNA, 292 nt
Filed under: uncultured bacterium
Lineage: Bacteria
Description: partial 16S ribosomal RNA
Rfam family: Bacterial small subunit ribosomal RNA
Source: RNAcentral